Molecule: ribosomal RNA, 468 nt
Filed under: uncultured bacterium
Lineage: Bacteria
Description: partial 16S ribosomal RNA
Rfam family: Bacterial small subunit ribosomal RNA
Source: RNAcentral
GACGAACGCUGGCGGCGUGCUUAACACAUGCAAGUCGAACGGAAAGGCCCUGCUUUUGUGGGGCGCUCGUGUGGCGAACGGGUGAGUAACACGUGAGUUACCUGCCCUUGACCUUGGGAUAACUUCAGGAAACUGGGUCUUACACCGGAUAGGAGCUUCUGAUGCAUGGUGGGGGUUGGUAAGUUUCGGGGGUUGGGGAUGGACUCGCGGCUUAUUAGCUUGUUGGUGGGGUAGUGGCUUACCAAGGCGUUGACGGGCAGCCGGCCGGGGGGGGUGACCGGCCACAUUGGGACUGAGAUACGGCCCGAACUCCUACGGGAGGCAGCGGUGGGGAUUAUUGCACAAGGGGCGGAGGCCUGAUGCAGCAACGCCGCGUGCGGAAUAACGGCCUUCGGUUGGUAAACCGUUUUGGCCUGGGACGAAGCGUGAGUGACGGUAAUGAGUAAAGAAGCACCGGCUAACUACGUG